RNAcentral lists this microRNA precursor (194 nucleotides) under Podarcis lilfordi (Lilford's wall lizard). The record is from RNAcentral. Lineage: Eukaryota; Metazoa; Chordata; Lepidosauria; Squamata; Lacertidae.
UCACUUUGAAACAGCAAAGCGGGAGAAGAGCCGCUGAGUGGGGAGGAGAGAGGGACAGAGAGCCUGCUUCUUUAAAGGAGCAAAGCUCCUUCUUUUAAGGAAUAAGCGGCUCCUGUCCAGUUGGUUCCUUUAAAGCAAGCAGGCUCUCUGUCCCUCUCUCCUCCCCACUCAGCUCGCUACAUAGCAGCAAAGUU